UCCGAUUUGUCACCGGCAGUCUCCUAUGAGUCCCCGACAUAACCCGCUGGCAACAGGGGUUGCGUUCGUUGCGGGACUUAACCCAACACCUCACGGCACGAGCUGACGACAGCCAUGCAGCACCUGUGCUAGCUCCCCGAAGGGUCCCGCAUCUUUCGAAUUGGUACCACUAGCAUGUCAAGCCUUGGUAAGGUUCUUCGCGUUGCGACGAAUUAAACCGCACGCUCCGCUGCUUGUGCGGGCCCCCGUCAAUUCUUUUGAGUUUUAGCCUUGCGGCCGUACUCCCCAGGCGGAACACUUAUCGCGUUAGCUGCGGCACAGAGGGAUUCGACUCCCCCCACACCUAGUGUUCAUCGUUUACGGCUAGGACUAC
Molecule: unclassified non-coding RNA, 373 nt
Filed under: uncultured bacterium
Lineage: Bacteria
Description: contains 16S-23S intergenic spacer region
Source: RNAcentral